CGCUGCAGAAGCCUUCUGUCCCCUGCCUGCCCCGGAAAGCGGUGACAUCCCGGGGCUUUCCGCUCGCUGGAAGCCCCCCAGGAUCCUGUUAAGACGCCCCCGCAGAAGACGCGGGGCCUCGCCACACAUCGGGGGCCGAAGAGGACCUGGCGGGCUCCCCUCCCCGCCCCCACUGGGCGCCCAGCCUCCGGACUGCCUUCCUCAGGGACCCCGGGGCUCCCCAGUACGGGGGCGCGGCGCCUGGCUCCCCGGGCGAGAGGCGCCGGCGAAGUUCCCACCUGAGCCGGCGGCCGGAGAUCGCGGGAGAGCCCAAUCACGGGGCGAGCUGGACCUGGCUGUGAUCAUUUAUAAUCCUUGACUCCUCCGCUCCGCCACUUGUCAAGAUGACAGGGGUCAUCCGUGAAUAACACUUCACGCUGAUGAAUGGCUCUUGCCGGCUUUCGGCUCUGAUGAGGGGUCUGCCCGCCGCCGAUUGAAAACACUAAUGAACUUACUGCGCCAUUUGAAAUUCACACGCACCAACAAAAUGGGGGGUGGGCAUUUCAGGUCAGCUGAGUCACCCGAGGAGGUGGCAGUGCAAGACACUG
Molecule: long non-coding RNA, 587 nt
Filed under: Homo sapiens (human)
Lineage: Eukaryota; Metazoa; Chordata; Mammalia; Primates; Hominidae
Description: non-protein coding lnc-DCTD-65:3
Source: RNAcentral